Molecule: ribosomal RNA, 253 nt
Filed under: uncultured bacterium
Lineage: Bacteria
Description: partial 16S ribosomal RNA
Rfam family: Bacterial small subunit ribosomal RNA
Source: RNAcentral
UACAGAGGGGGCAAGCGUUGCUCGGAAUUACUGGGCGUAAAGGGCGCGUAGGCGGCCUGUUAAGUCAGACGUGAAAUCCCUCGGCUUAACCGGGGAACUGCGUCUGAUACUGGAUGGCUUGAAUCCGGGAGAGGGAUGCGGAAUUCCAGGUGUAGCGGUGAAAUGCGUAGAUAUCUGGAGGAACACCGGUGGCGAAGGCGGCAUUCUGGACUGCAACUGACACUGAGAGACGAAAGCCAGGGGAGCAAACGGG